Molecule: long non-coding RNA, 3599 nt
Filed under: Triticum aestivum (bread wheat)
Lineage: Eukaryota; Viridiplantae; Streptophyta; Magnoliopsida; Poales; Poaceae
Description: long non-coding RNA (TAES_LNC021185)
Source: RNAcentral
UAAACUUGCAUUAAAAAAGGAGUAAACACAAGUGACAUAAUAAAAUGUACUUAAUACAUGAACUUGUAGAGAGUAGCAGUAAACUUGCAUUAAAAAAGGAGUAAACACAAGUGACACAAUAAGAUGUACUUAAUACAUGAACUUGUGAACAUUGGCUACAGGAGAAGUUAAUAGAAAUAGUGGUCAAUUACAUCAUGUAAUUUGGUUCUAUACUCUUUUAUGUAUAUGUCCUGAAUGCUACCCCUUUGUGAUCAACUCUUUGUCCUCCGAAUCGAAUGGCACAGCUACUACCCCUUGUGGAAAAAGAAAGGGUUCUGUAAUACCCAUAAAUGUAAAAGGAAAACAUCAUGUGAUGCAUCUCAACCUGCGCAAAACAAUGUAAAAACCAUACAUGUUAUCUACAUACCCUCAUUGUCUAGCGUACAAAAGAAUUGACAAUUAGCAAGAAAGAAGCAUGCCACUUUACAUGGAACAAAAAAAAUGAUUAUUAUGGUGAGCGCAGAAUAACAUGAAGUUGUCAUGUGCAGCCAACAACUGCAGCUAUCUGUAUAAGCUACUGCUACUUUACAAUCUAUAUUGACAGGAAUAUUUGUGAAGUCAUACAAAUCUAUCUUAAGUGAAAACAUGCUUAUAAGACAUCCUUAAUUCUCUCUGUUGUUCAGUGCCCUUUUGAUGUCACUUUAUUCAUAUGGCAAGUAUGGGUUUAAUCAUCAGUAGACGGAAACUUUGUGUGAAUCAAAAUACCAAGUUUAGUAUGGAAACUAUAGUUUCUCCAUGUCAUUAUUUCAAGACAAAGCACGUUAUUCACACCCACUUAGAAUCAUAAUUUCCAGUAAACUUUCCAUACAGCAAUAUCAAUAAAAAGGCUUCUGUUCUUUACCUUUGAUAGAAGAAGCAACUGGCUGAGGCUGCCCUAGCAUGAGGUCAAACUGUCGAUUGCAGAGCAAUAAAUAAAAUAUCACAACUAACGUGGAAAUACGUAGAGAGACAACCCGAGAAAUUUUUUCAGGUGCAGCACACACUCCUGAAACCAGACGGAACAUGCCGUGCAACCCCCGCCAACACCUUCAGAAAAUCCAUAAUAAUCCUAAUGUAUGACCAAAAAGAGAACAAAAAUUGGGAAGGUUAACUAAGGUACUGUAUUGAUGAUUGCAUUAGAAAAAAUAAGAAAAAGAUGUACUUCUAUGUGGCACAAUAAAUGGUGCCGAGCAAAUAAACUGUACAUUUAGCUUUCCUGUUCGACCACACAGAAAAUAGGACAGCCCAAAACCGAAGUACUAAAUUAGUCUCUAUGUGUGAAGGCUGGAAGCUAUAUUCUGUUUAGUGAUAGAUUACCCAUCAAAGCAAAAGUAAUUCAAGAUUUUCAAUGGUAUUCCAUAAAUGCAGAUGAAUAAGACUCGAUAUUAAGUAUACGACUUUGUCCUUUCUGUACAUACCAAUAAGAAAAGCUAGAGAAAUUAAAAAAAAUCAUCUCAUACUACAUUUCCUGCCGGUGAGCUUGUCAAUCAAGCUGCCGGUGAGCUUGUCAAUCAAGCUGAGGUGAAAAAAUAUUCAGAGGUCCACCAGGCAGUAACCCAUAAUGCUUUUUUUUAUAGCUAGCAAAGUGAACCAUAUAGUAGAUGGGAAACAAUAUAAUAAAGGCCAAAUAAAGCAAUAAUCCAUUCAUUAUGUCGUAGCCAAAAAGAAUAAAUAAAAUAGUAUGUAAAAAACCAAAUUAAAAACAGAGAAAAGAACAACAAAUAGAAAAUGGGAGGAGAUAGAACAAGCAAAUCUAAAUCUAAGAAAAUGAGAGCAUACCAGGCAAAAUGACAGUAGAGCAAAUGUGCGCAGAAAAAAAACAAAAGGGGAGUUGAAAUACCCACGGAUGGGUUGGAGACGGCAAGGUCAUCGAGAAGUACGCCUAGCUCUCGCGAAAAUGUGAAAAAUUUGGAAGCAUGAGCAUCAAAUCAGGUAUUUCUACUUGCUCCCAAGCUGAACACCAGAACAUCCAGAAAACUAUAAAUUAAUUGAGCAGGACAACUUCAUCUCAAAUUAGAUGUUAGACAUAUAUCCUGUUUUUGACAUGGCUAACUGCUAAAAGAUCCACAUGUUCGCGUAGUACAAAUUCAGUUUAUGGCAAUAUAACAGAUCAAGUGCCUAAAAUAAUUAGCUUGGAUCAUCUUCGGCAAUAUUCUAACAAAUAAGGUUAUGACCAUUCCUUGUCACCCAUAGCACAAACCCUCUGACUUUCAACUCAGCUACAAGAUCACCCCAUGAACCUUCUGAUCUCUUGGGAACAUCAUAUUUAAAGAGAGUUUAUUAAUUAACUACAUAAAGCAUAGGUAUGGAUAGUACUUAGAAGCUCUCUUGCUCCUAUUAAGAACUUAAAAGGUCCUUUCUUUUCUUUUCUCGACAAUACGUGUUGGGAGACCAGCUCAUGAACAGAAAGCAUUCCAGCGAGGAUGCACAUACUUAAUAUGGUUUGGCUCAUAACAUAGUUGAAAUUCGUUGUCUCAAUAGUGCUUCACAUUAAUUUUGGUAGAAACAUAUUUCACAUUAAUUUUAAUUAAGAGGAGCAUGGGCAUUUCCUCAAUGAGAUGGCAGAUGCAAGCAAUUGUGAUCAGCAGAAAAGGCUAAAUCGUCAGGGUGCCAACGACAUAGAUCAAUGGAAUAAAUGCUCACAAAUGAAAUGACAGUGAAGGGGAUAUGAAUCUUGACUCUGGGUUGAACAAAGUAAAUGGGAUAAGCUUACCUUGCCGCAGAGACGACCGACGCCCAACUUCAAGAAAAAAGGCGAGUGCGCCAAGCAAAAUCUGCAAGGGAAAUCUUAAUUCAGACAUGGUAUCACCUGGACAUAGCAAGACAUCAUCCGGAUGUCUAAAAUGCACCUCACCUGCUGGAAUCAUCCUCGCCUCAAUGAAAGAAAUAUAGCCCAGUUUGACCCUGAAUAUGAAGCAAAAAGACAUAAUGAGACAUGCCGAACCUGCAAUGAAUGAAUGAAUUGUCUGAACCUACACUGGAUAGCUCAUGUCUUGACUGUCGCUCACGCUCUUGUCCAGCUUGCUACACCGUGCAUAGUGCUCACUGGCGCUCGCCAUCUCCCAGCCGGCGAGCCUUCUUGCUAAGGCAUCAAUAACAUGUAUGCAUUUUUCUCCAAUUCCACAGAUACGAAGAAGGCAUUGCAGUGAUACAAUUUUCCAAACAUUCGAGACAAUAUAGAAAUGGGGGAAAAAACUUCUAUCAUUACAUUCAGGAAUAAUUUCAGCAGAGAAAUGUCAAUUUGGCAAAAACUCUGUUAAAUUCUUGUUUUCCACUACAGCUAAAAGUACUCAUAUUUGCUUAAUAUGGUAUAGACAGACCAAAACAUCCACAAAAACUGUACAAAGAAGCAAUGCAUCAACCACUUGGCUUGCACAACCUAGAGAAGAACACACACAACAAUUCUCAAGACUAAAUAAGAUAAACAGUGACAUUAAAAAACUGAGAUGAUUCACACCAGUCGCCAGUAAGGAGCUGAGGCGGCAACUAAACUUCUUUUCACUACAUCUGAAGUGACAUUUAUUUUCUUAAUGGGAUAUAUGGAAAACAAAGGUUUGUCUGCAGAGAUGUGUGGUUUAUCU